Molecule: ribosomal RNA, 468 nt
Filed under: uncultured bacterium
Lineage: Bacteria
Description: partial 16S ribosomal RNA
Rfam family: Bacterial small subunit ribosomal RNA
Source: RNAcentral
GACGAACGCUGGCGGCGUGCUUAACACAUGCAAGUCGAACGGAAAGGCCCUGCUUUUGUGGGGUGCUCGAGUGGCGAACGGGUGAGUAACACGUGAGUAACCUGCCCUUGACUUUGGGAUAACUUCAGGAAACUGGGGCUAAUACCGGAUAGGAGCUCCUGCUGCAUGGUGGGGGUUGGAAAGUUUCGGCGGUUGGGGAUGGACUCGCGGCUUAUCAGCUUGUUGGUGGGGUAGUGGCUUACCAAGGCUUUGACGGGUAGCCGGCCUGAGAGGGUGACCGGCCACAUUGGGACUGAGAUACGGCCCAGACUGCUACGGGAGGCAGAAGUGGGGAAUAUUGCACAAUGGGCGGAAGCCUGAUGCAGCAACGCCGCGUGCGGGAUGACGGCCUUCGGGUUGUAAACCGCUUUCGCCUGUGACGAAGCGUGAGUGACGGUAAUGGGUAAAGAAGCACCGGCUAACUACGUG